UACGGAGGGUGCUAGCGUUGUUCGGAAUUACUGGGCGUAAAGCGUGCGCAGGCGGUUGUGCAAGACCGAUGUGAAAUCCCCGGGCUCAACCUGGGAACUGCCUUUGUGACUAGCAUAGCUAGAGUACGGUAGAGGGGGAUGGAAUUCCGCGUGUAGCAGUGAAAUGCGUAGAUAUGCGGAGGAACACCGAUGGCGAAGGCAAUCCCCUGGACCUGUACUGACGCUCAUGCACGAAAGGCGUGGGAGCAAACAGG
This 254-nucleotide ribosomal RNA is filed under the name uncultured bacterium. RNAcentral describes it as "partial 16S ribosomal RNA". It matches the Rfam family "Bacterial small subunit ribosomal RNA", at positions 524 to 776 of the family's 1533-position model. The record is from RNAcentral.